RNAcentral lists this long non-coding RNA (2723 nucleotides) under Malus domestica (apple). RNAcentral's name for it is "long non-coding RNA (MDOM_LNC012174)". Lineage: Eukaryota; Viridiplantae; Streptophyta; Magnoliopsida; Rosales; Rosaceae. The record is from RNAcentral.
AGUUUUAUCCAUGAUUGUGGUUCUUAUGCUAGUAUUUAUCUAGCAAAUGGUAGAUGUGGUUUGAUAAUCUGGAAUUUACUUAGCCAAUGAGAAUUAUGGCUUGAUGUUUGAAAUAUUAAUUUACAAACGUGUGUGGCUAGAAAUUUUGAUUUUUUUUUUCACCAAUUAAUGUGGUUGGAAAUCUGAGUGUAUGAGUGAAAAUUUUGAUAAUUGAUAAGUUGAAUUACUUAUUUUGAGUAUGAAUAAAAUCGUAGACUGAGGGUAUAAUUUUAUUCACUAUAAAUGGAACGGCGGGAUUAGUUCUAAAUCCCUUUUCGUCAUUUGAUGGUUGGAAAUCUCGAGAACGAGAUUUAUUUUAAUAGGGGUCAUUGUUUUACCAAUGAUGAUUAUGGCUAUAUGAUUAAUAUGGUUAGUUUGGUUCACGUGAGGAUAUGAAUGAAAUCAUAGAAUGAGAUCUUAAUUUCGUUCAAUAUUAACGGUACUACGGAUUGGUUUUAAAUACCUUAUCCUUAUCAUGUGAUUGAAAUCUCGGGGACGAGAUUUAUUUUAAUGGGGUUGAAUGUAAUACCCUAAAAAUUCAAAAUAUAUGAUUAUAUGGAGUAAAUCGAGAAUAAAUAGAUUUAUGGUUAUAAAAAUUUGAUUAGAGAAAUUUUAGAAUUUUGUUUCCGGAAUUUAUUAUAAUUUACAUCGAAAAAUUUAUCGAUAAGUGGAAAAGAUGAAAAUGCCCUAGUUGACUAAACGUAAUUUUACGAGGAUAUAUUUAUCCUCAUGUAUUUUAUCAUAUUUCUUGACGUAUUUGGAUAGAGCUCGAUCCUACGAAAGCGUAGGUGAAAACCAUUUGUGAAUCAGGAUUGAAAUGAAGAAAUUAGAGGUUUUAGAAAAAAUGAAAAAAUAAAAAAGAGGAAGAGGAGUUUGGAAGCUGCCAGAUGGCAGCGUGAGAGAAGAGGAAAAUGAGAGAUGAGGGAGAGAAGAAGGGAAAAAGGGGGACCAAUCUGGAAAAAAGGGGACCAAUAGGAAGAAAAGGAAAGGAGGGAAGGCCGGUUUCUCAUCCGUCCGAUGUCUGUUGGAGGUGAUUCCAGUGUCUAUAGGAAGCUCUCAACGAGCCCAACAUCCUUGAGGUGUUGGAUUUCUCAAUUUCUUACCCAAUUUUACAAAUCGAAGCCACAAACCCACGGUUGUCCACACGGUUUUCUUCCUUUUUUGGUGAUUUGGACAACAAUUAUCGUCGAUCCCCACCACCAAUAGACUUCCCUCAACCCCAGGAGUAAGGCCUAAUCAUUGGAUCAGACAUCAGCGUUCGUUUUGGAGUCGAAUCAAGAACACCCAAUUCAAGGGUUUCUGACGGUUCAAGGGCAAAUUGAGGUAUUUCUUGAUUGAAUUGGACUUUGGCCCAUGUAUGAAAGUUAUUCAUCUUUUUGAACUCUAUUUGCCUGUAAAAUUUGGUAAUUUUUUGAGUUCGUCAGAAAACUAGGUUUCCGUUUGCCGGAAACCGCCAACUAACGCGGUGCAUGGCAAGUGGGCUGACGUUGCUUUUUCAUGCAAAUUUUGAUAUUUUAAAUUCAUAAUUGGUACCCAUUUGAUGUGAUUCGAUUAUGAAAGCUAAUGUUGAAUAUUUCUGUUACUAGAAUAUUUCGGAAAUAGAUAAAAGAAUGAAUGUGAACUAUGAAAGGUUGAUCCCGUUCAAGGGUACGUAGGCAGUCUAACGGGAGUUAGAUGCAGCCUUAAAAAUAGCCGAGAUUAAUCUUUUGUUGAAAAUUUGUCUAAGAAAAGGAAUUGGGUGAUCAAUUUAAAAAUUAACCUUAUGUUUUUGGUAAACAAUUUGGGUUAUAGAUUUUGUGAGUAACUAAGAAUUAAAUAAAAGAAUUAUGAUAAAUGGUAGAAAAUAAACAAGAGUUUAAUUUGGGCCUAUCAUAGUAAUUAUCUUUCGAAAUAAAUUUUUCGGGUUGGGGCGAUAGAAAACGAGUUUCCUAUAUUCUUGGAGAUUCCUACAAUCUAGUGCGCCGUCAAUAAUCACACUCCUAAGAGGAAACAAUAUCUAAUCCUAGACAUCCCCUUGGUUUCUCCCGGUUUAAUACAGUUUCCAUAUCCUCUGCCGAUUAUUAAAAUAAUUUCAUCUAGAGCAUAACUUUGGUACUGCAUAUAACACAGAGAGAUGAUCCUCACCGGAUCCUCUUUGUGAGGAUCCCAGGGAUCCUCAAAUCACAUCCGUUCAUUAUACAUUAUGCAGUUAGAAAUCAUUGUAAUUUUUUUUAUUUAAAAUUGAAUAUAAACAAUAUCUAAUGAAAACUAGCCGCACAAUGCACGAUGAAUGGAUUAGGAUCCUGCAAAGAUCCUCUCUCUAUAACGCAAUCUAUGCAUACCCCUUGUUAUUCUCUUCUACUGCUUGAGUUGUAAUAUUACUUUACUAACUUGACCAUUGGAGAGCUUUUUGUCUGUACCCCAUGGGAACCCAAGGUUGACUAUGAAUGUUUGUUUUCUUACAGGUAGUCGGACUUGCGUAGCUCUUCCGUUUGUAGCAAUGCGCGAAUUUAGUUCCAACAUUUAAUCAUGUUAAACUUAAACAAAAAUGCUAUAAUUAAAUGUGGUGAACAAAAAUGCUACCUUACUUUUGUCAUACUGGUCGAUUUUGUUUGUGUUAUGCCUAUGUUAUAUUGUGUCUAUGUUGGUCAUGUCAUGCUCAUGCUAGUCUGAUGAGUGAUAUUCAAUUACAAAACUAAUUUAUA